Molecule: ribosomal RNA, 292 nt
Filed under: uncultured bacterium
Lineage: Bacteria
Description: partial 16S ribosomal RNA
Rfam family: Bacterial small subunit ribosomal RNA
Source: RNAcentral
GUGCCAGCAGCCGCGGUAAUACGUAGGGGGCAAGCGUUGUCCGGAUUUAUUGGGCGUAAAGAGCGUGUAGGCGGCCAGACAGGUCCGUUGUGAAAACUAGAGGCUUAACCUCUAGACGUCGAUGGAAACCGUUUGGCUAGAGUCCGGAAGAGGAGAAUGGAAUUCCUGGUGUAGCGGUGAAAUGCGCAGAUAUCAGGAAGAACACCCGUGGCUAAGGCGGUUCUCUAGUACGGUACUGACGCUGAGACGCGAAAGCGUGGGGAGCGAACAGGAUUAGAAACCCCUGUAGUCC